This 300-nucleotide ribosomal RNA is filed under the name Triticum aestivum (bread wheat). RNAcentral describes it as "partial small subunit ribosomal RNA". The record is from RNAcentral. Lineage: Eukaryota; Viridiplantae; Streptophyta; Magnoliopsida; Poales; Poaceae.
AUGACGGGGAUCCGUGCCCCUGCGCCAUCGCCGGUUCCGAAGACGGUGCCUCCUCCAGAGAGCAAGUGGAUGCACGAGCGGGGCGGCGUUUCCGAUGGACUCGAGACGGAGGGAACGAAGGGGGAAGCGGAGGCCAAGCAACCGCGCGGGUCUGGCAUCUCAGAAGCAGUAAGUAGAGAUCCCCUUGCUGAUGGGAGUUCCCAACCUAGAUUUCAGCAAUCACCAGACAAGAGCUCUCCUGACGAUCACAUUCAACAUAGGAAGGCUCAGGCAGAUGAUUCACCCUCGUUGGCUGCUUAG